RNAcentral lists this unclassified non-coding RNA (347 nucleotides) under soil metagenome. RNAcentral's name for it is "partial contains 5.8S ribosomal RNA, internal transcribed spacer 2, and large subunit ribosomal RNA". The stretch from base 1 to 120 matches the Rfam family "5.8S ribosomal RNA", at positions 35 to 154 of the family's 154-position model. The record is from RNAcentral.
GAUGAAGAACGCAGUGAAAUGCGAUAAUUAAUGUGAAUUGCAGAAUUCAGUGAAUCUUCGAGUCUUUGAACGCACAUUGCGCCCCCUGGUAUUCCGGGGGGCAUGCCUGUCCGAGCGUCAUUGCUGCCCUCAAGCACGGCUUGUGUGUUGGGCUUCCGUCCCUGGCAACGGGGACGGGCCCAAAAGGCAGUGGCGGCACCAUGUCUGGUCCUCGAGCGUAUGGGGCUUUGUCACCCGCUCCCGUAGGUCCAGCUGGCAGCUAGCCUCGCAACCAAUCUUUUUAACCAGGUUGACCUCGGAUCAGGUAGGGAUACCCGCUGAACUUAAGCAUAUCAAUAAGCGGAGGA